RNAcentral lists this long non-coding RNA (2198 nucleotides) under Heterocephalus glaber (naked mole-rat). RNAcentral describes it as "lncRNA (ENSHGLG00000044178.1)". The record is from RNAcentral. Lineage: Eukaryota; Metazoa; Chordata; Mammalia; Rodentia; Bathyergidae.
UCGUAAUAUUAAUUUUAAUUGAAUGACAGAGCAAUAGGAAAGAAGAGUACAGUCCAGAGGUGGCGUCCCGGGUCUUCCGGACAUGGUCUCUGCCAAGAGCUCCAGGUUGGGCUGUGCUGGGAGCCCCUUCCCCAGCCAACACCUGGCAGGGGGGAGUCCAGCAGCACUCAGGGGCAGUCCUGGCAGCACCAAGAAAGGCCUGUUAUUCACAGCCAAACAGCAGGAAGAGGUUCCCCACGUCCACUGGGCAAAUGCGGAAGGUGAGGUCCAGGCGAGGGCAGGACCCAUCCAGGAAACCCUCUGGCUGUGAAAAGAGCCCCAAGCAUGGAUCCAACACCACUCUCUACUGCUGGGGAACUCACUGGGGCACCGCGCUGUUCCCUAGGUUGAAAACAAAGGAAUUUCGGUCUCACUGGCAACCCUUAGAAUUUCAUGUACUCUGUCUACUGGGUUGGCAGAACCUCCCAGGCAAGUGGCUGAUUUUGACAGGAUGUGAUGUAGCUACCUAGAUGGCAGUGGACAUGGCUAGCCGGUCAGCCGACAUGUGAGAAUGGAUCCAGAGGUCCAAUGCGGAAAGCAGAUAAAGAACUCACUUGGUUCAAGUCAAAGGUGGUGUAACCACUCGAUGCACUACAGCUGGGUAGCAGUUCAAAGGAAAGAGGUGGGUGAUGCGGACUGCACCCCUGGGAGAGACUACAUAGGCUGGGUAAUACUCUUUAUCACAGGUCUAUAGACUGUGCCUGUGUCUGCGUACACGUGCACAAAUGAAUUAGAAAGAUCUGCAAAGACGUGUUCCAAAGCGAUGACAAAUGUUACACAGAGACAAUGAAGAGCCCAGCACUGGAGACGGAGAACUGCAGGAUGUUUGGCCCUAUUGGGAAAGCUCUUUUUCUGCCCCAAGACAGAUGCGUUCUCUUAGUAUUUGUGUAACGAAAGAUUGACAUUUAUAAAAAUGAGAAAGCAAACAGAAUUUUAAUGACUCCCCUACAGGUUUGAGUGCCUACGAUGUGCUGGCCCACUGCAGGGUGAAAAGCACAGCCCCUGUCCACCUUACAGUCUGACCAUGGGCAGCGGUGGCUCGCUGGGUGAGCAGGAUGAGGCAUGUUAGUGUGUGUCGCUCAAACAAGAAAGUAGAGCAGAGGAGGGAAAUCAAGAAAGUGCCCUCCAUGCUCCACUGGAGACCCGAGGCCAGAACAGUGCCCCAGGAAGUCCUCCCAGGGCUCCGCUGAGGGGCGGGGAGUCCUUUGUCAUUUUAAAGGCGGCCCCACUGCCUCUGACUUCAGUCUUCCAAGGAACGUGACAGCACAAAGAACAGCUUGCGGUUCCCAGGGUUCCCAGGCAUCUGACCCCGCAACAGGGAGGUGGUUUUGUUGCUCUUGAAGGGCAUCAGCUGCUUGCCUGUUUUUAUCAGUACAUAUGGUUUACUCUGCUAGGCUACAAACGGCCUCCACCAAAACUGCUGUUUUGAUUUGGGUUUCUAAAAAUAACUCCUGGGAAGCCUGCAGUGUGAGAGGAAGAUGCUGUACACAGCUCCGGGAGGAAAAGUACGAAGCAUUUGAUCUGAAUUACCUAAGGGCUGAAACUGAGUGCAAGUAUCUAUCUCCUUGCAGCAACUGCCAUAUAAUUAGCCAUCCUAAUAGAAUGCUUUCAAAGCCUAGGCAGUCCAACAAGUAAGUUUAAUUGAAAAUAAAAUUUCCAGACCAACUGUUUUGUCAAAACCACAUUAAAUGAAGAUAGCUCAGCAAUGACUGAAGCCCCAGGGAGAAGUGUGAUGUGGACGGAGACGGGCUGGGAAGGAGGGAGGGGUACACAGAAAAAAUCGGUGGCGAUUUUCUGAGCUCUCCGCUCCAGUUCCUGCGUCUGCACAGUGCUGGGGGAAGAGCAUCCAAUUCGCUCUGGGUCUGUAUGACGGCUGCCUUUGCCUCUUGUGUAGGUGCUACAAUCUCCAGGAGAGGAAAAGCCAGGAUCAGACUCUCAGGCAUGGGGGGAAGAGAAGAGAAAGACGAUGCUGGCCACGUGACCCAGCUGCUGGCAGCACAGGGCGCGUUUGUUCCGCUGGAGGAGGAGCACGCUUACCCAAGGGCUCCCAGAGCCACAGGCUGGGACUGCCUUAACAUGUGGAAGUCCACCUUGGCUGCUUCCCCGCUGUGUGGCUUCUGCUGAGUCAGUCAGCAUCUCUGAGUGGUGGUUUUCUCCCC